GCCUACGGGGCGCAGCAGUAGGGAAUCUUCCACAAUGGACGAAAGUCUGAUGGAGCAACGCCGCGUGAGUGAAGAAGGUUUUCGGAUCGUAAAACUCUGUUGUUAGAGAAGAACGUGCGUGAGAGUAACUGUUCAUGCAGUGACGGUAUCUAACCAGAAAGCCACGGCUAACUACGUGCCAGCAGCCGCGGUAAUACGUAGGUGGCAAGCGUUGUCCGGAUUUAUUGGGCGUAAAGGGAACGCAGGCGGUUUUUUAAGUCUGAUGUGAAAGCCUUCGGCUUAACCGAAGUCGUGCAUUGGAAACU
This 305-nucleotide ribosomal RNA is filed under the name uncultured bacterium. RNAcentral's name for it is "bacterial SSU rRNA". It matches the Rfam family "Bacterial small subunit ribosomal RNA", at positions 337 to 634 of the family's 1533-position model. The record is from RNAcentral.